GGGGGGAGGGUAUAAUGGUAGAGCAUCUGCCUGGCAUGCAGGAUGUCCUGGGUUCAAUCCCUGGUACUUCCA
This 72-nucleotide transfer RNA is filed under the name Camelus bactrianus (Bactrian camel). It matches the Rfam family "tRNA". Rfam says of the family: Transfer RNA (tRNA) molecules are approximately 80 nucleotides in length. Their secondary structure includes four short double-helical elements and three loops (D, anti-codon, and T loops). The record is from Rfam by way of RNAcentral. Lineage: Eukaryota; Metazoa; Chordata; Mammalia; Artiodactyla; Camelidae. RNAcentral also lists the same sequence under 2 other names.